UUGGCGCCGUUGCCGGGGAUUGAAAAAUCACUUGUUUUUGUUUAUAAUUGUUGUAUAUAAACUGUUUGAUACUUAGUUUAAAUUAACUAGGUUGUUUUUUUUUUAUUGUUGAAUACGAGUUUAAUUGUGAGUUGUAAAUUAAAGAAGGAAUAGGUGAAGUCGUGUUUAUUAAUAUUGGCCUAAACCCCUUAUUGGUACCUAGUUCAGGUCCCUUAAGGUUGAGGGCGGCCUUUAUUAACAUUCAUUGAACUGUCUAACACACUUAGGACCUUUUACAUCCUAGUAAGAAUAUCCUAUGUGAGAUGGUGUCUAGGAAGGGGACAACGUUCAUGACGGGUUUUUGAAUCCAGAAGUGCUUAUAAAUGGGCUUAGCUCAUGCCAAAAUGGAUUUUUCCUCUCGUGUUCACCCUCCCCUACCUGGCCAUUUCAGUAAGGUUGCCCAACGGAUGUAGGAGGGACUUUGUGUCUAGACGACUAUACUUGGGCCGCACGUCCACUUGAUUUACCGCUUGGAAUUAGAUUUGAUAUCAAUAAUGUUUAUAACAAAAGAAAUACUUGUGCAUACUCUUUACGUGUAAAUUAUUUUGUUGUUUCACACUUUAUACUUGUAAAAAUACUUUUUACGUUUUAUACUCACUUGUGUACUUAACUUGUGUCUUAUGUACAAAAUACUUGUUAAUUAUACUUGUAGUUUGUAAUUCAUAGUUACUUGUUUAUUUUUUUUGUAUUUCUUUGUUAAUAUUAAGUUACUAACUUUAUUUAAUGUAGGUACCGUCUGGCUGCAAGACGUAAACUACAAGCGCUGCUUGGGAGGCAACCCAAUUCAGAAUAUAAUCAGAUUUGCUUUCUCUUCCCCUUUUACUCCUCCAUUUUCUUUUUGUUUUAGUAGUUAUUUUCGUAAAUUUCAUCCCUAUAUGCUUACUUAUUUCAUUGCAUGCUUUUAAUUGAUUACAUUGAGGAUAAUGCAAUAUUUAAGUGUGGGGGAAGGGAUUUAUAUUUUUGUCUUUCAUUUUGAAUCCUAUAAAUAUUUUUGUCUUUCAUUUUGAGUCCUAUAAAUAUUUUUGAGUCCUAUAUUUUAAAAAAAAAUAAUAAAAAAAAUAAAAAUAAAUAAAAUAAUAAUAAUAAAAAAAAAAAUUUGCAUUCAUUCAGUCUUAUUAAAUUCAGCUAUUUACAAAAAAAAAAAAUAAAAAUAAAUAAAUAAAUAAAUAAUAAUAAUAAUAAUAAUAAUAAUAAUAAUACUCUAUACUAAGCCAUGUCUGCAUCUCUGUAGGAGUUGAGGCUGAGCUCAAGGGAAAUGUGAGAGCCACCGCCAUAACCGCUACCUCUCUCGGAAGUAGUCUUCAUGAUGCCCAAGAUGUCCUCACCAUGCAUGGGGAACAAUGGAAGGGUUUCAAUCUCCUGGUGAUCUCCUCCUCGUUGUUGCAGGGAUGUUUGUCCUCCUGUUGUGCCAAAAGAGUUGUACUGGUAUUAGUGUUGAAGUGUGAGGAAGAAUAUGAAACAAAAUUUAAAUCAAGAAAUCCUUCAUUACCAGUAGAAUCGGUGGAACCAAAGUUGAGAUUAAUGGAUCUACCAUCAUCGGUAGAACUAGUGGACCCAAAAUUGAUGUCAAUGGAUCCACCAGCUGGCCCAAAAUUGAUGUCGAUGGAUCCACCAGCACCAGUAGAACCAGCUGGCCCAAAAUUGAGAUCAAUGGAUCCACCAGUACCAGGAGAACUAGUUCCCAUGGGCACUUGAGCAGCCUGAUUGCACCUCUUCAUCUGCUUCUCUCGAGCCCUGACAUUCUGGAACCAAAAAUAAAUGUUCUUGCCCUCAACAUGUCCAUACUGGUUCAGCUGGAGACAGAUCUCGUGAAUAUGCUCUGUAGUUGGGCACGUAACUCCCUUGUCGUAGUAAAGAUCCUUGAGGAUCCUUAUUUGAUCUGGAGUAGGAACCCACCUGGCACGGCUUCGCCAGAAAUCUGUGUUGGCACUACUCCCGGCUGCUUGGUUGUUUCCUCCAUCCUCGAUUUGUUGCUGGGUUUGUAGCUCCAUCAGUUGCAGAGUUCGUGGUUCCAUGGUGAUGGGUUGAGGGGAUGUGAAGAUCGAAGAGUAAAGUUGUCGAGUGUUUGAAGGAGUUGUUGUUAAAGGGAUUAAGGAUGAUGAUGGUGUGUUGGAGAUCUGAAAGUUCAGAGGAAAGAUGGGAUUGAAUCAACUAGAUGGGAGAGAAGAUCAGAAGAGAAGGAUUGAAUCGAAGAAGAAAUAUUUUGAGUUUUGAAAGAAGAGGAAAGCUGAAGAGUUGGGAGAGAGGGGCUGGAACUCAGGAGAGAUUUUCGUUCCUUUGGAGUGAACAGUUGCGCCCUCAGAAUGCACCUAUUUAUAGAGCGAGGUGAGCAGAUCUCCACCGUUGGAUGGACGAUUCCUGUGAUUCAUUCUACGCGUUGGAUUAAAGUCGCCCUGAAACCCGGAAAAGUUGUUGGCGCGUGGAGAGCGUGUAAGGGGACCGAAGGAAUCUCGAGGCGCUGUGGCAGACAGCUGUAGCCGAAAGCAGAUUUGACUGCCGUAAAUCACGGAAGGGAUAAGCCGUGACACAAGUGGGCCGUACUUGGGCCUGUCUCGGAUCAAGGCAUCACUGUAGCUGUGGGUGGAGGCCUGAUGGGCCGAGUUUCAGAAACAGUUUUGGACAUGAUGGGCCGAGUUUCUGAAACAGUUUUGGAUGAGUUGGGCUGGGUUUCUGCAACAGUCUUGGAUGUUUUGUGCCGAAUUGUUGAAACAGUUGAAACAGUUGGUUUAAAUAAAAGGAUUGGUAUGGAUAAUAACGUGAGCAGCCGUGCUCGAGUGGUUGAGUGUAAAGUUCGUGUACAAGAGGUCUGAGGUUCGAACCUCGCCUCUCGUUUAUUUUUAUUAUGUUCGUUUAUGACAUAAUAAGUAUAAAAUUUGUACACAAUAUAUUAAGCACAGCUUGUGCUCCAGUGGUUGGGGACAAAGGUUUCGUGGAGCAGGUUAAGGUUUCGAACCUUGCCUCCCCCGUUUUUUUUUAUUUAUGUCACUCCAUCAGAACCCUCCUCCGAAGGCUGAAACCAGCAAGAAGGCUGCCACUCGCCCGCAUACCGCUCCUCCAAAGGAGUAAAUGGAGGUACAAGUCUAGGCUGAAAGACUUUAAACAUUAAGCGCUGCAUGGGAGGCAACCCAUUUCAACCGUAGCUUUGGAGGAGCCAUCAACGCAGAUUUGCUCUCUUAAACUCUAUCUCCUCUAUUACUAUUUUCUGAUUGUAUCUUUGUUAUUUGCGUUUUUAGUUUUUGUUUUUAGGUUUUCUUGAGUUAAUCAUUCCAUUCACAUGAUAAUUGUUCAUUGCAUGCUCUAACUUGUUUAACAUUGAGGACAAUGUAUGAUUUAAGUGUGGGGGGAAGGAUUAAUGCUUGUAGUUAGUUUUUGUCAUAAAAAGAAAACAAAACAAAAAAAAUCGAAAAAUGUCAGAAAUAUAAAAAAUUUCGUUGCUUUUGUUUUUGUUUUGAGUCUUAGGAUGCCUUUCAACUGUCUGGGAUGAUUCUAUAUCUCUGAAAUCAUGACUAAAAGAGGAUCACAACAUUGAGAUGAUUUUAAACAUGGUAUUCUUUGGUUAAUUGAGAUAUAUGAAAAAUGUGUGCCUUGUAGUGGAUAUGGAUUGCAUGACCUUGGUACAGAAUAUGAGCAUGUUAAGAUGAGUUGUGAUUCAUAAAGCCAUGUGAGAUAAUUGAACCAUGUCCCUUUUUCUUGGAGUGAAAUGAAAAAUAUAUUCUUAAUUUCUUGGCGAUGUUUUGAUGAUCUCAUUAUUCUUUCAUCUUGAUUGACUGCUUGCCAUAGAUUAAGUUUAAUGGACUAGAGAAUGCUAGAAUUCGCUCUUGUGCUUGUUGAGACGUGAUAUCAAUACAUGGCCCUGAUUCUGGAAGGGAUAGAGGUUCUCUAGGAAUUACCACCAUUGCCAAAUAAACUUGUGUCCCCAUUUGUGCCCGUCGUGGGACCCCCCUAGAUAAGCCCAUUUGAGCCUACAUUAAGCCUUUUCGUUCAUCACCCUUAAAAUCCUUAACCAUGAAGCUUAGUAUAGUUACAACCCUACCCUUUGUUCUAAGGACUUAGUGGAGCUAUCUUUUGAGACAUACUACAUGGGUUUGGUGCUAAGGAUGAAGAUUGAGAAGAGGUGAAAGUUCAAGUGUGGGGAUAGACUUGUCCAUAAAGAAAAAGAUAUGUUGAAGCCGUGAAAAAUGAAAAGAAAAGAGAAAAAUUGUGUACGGCUAAAAAGAAAAAAAGAAAAAAAAAAUAUAUGUUUAUGGACUUUCAUCCCCCAUACUUAGUGAUUUUGGAGUUUGCUUUGAAUUGAAGGCCCACUACAGAAAAAUUUGGCCUUUGUCCAUUUCACUAGAGUUCAAGGGAAGUUUAUAUUGAAGAUUGGGCCCAACAUGAAGACAUUUGGCCCUCUUAUAUUACCUCUAUGGGGAAGUGACGUUUUUGCAAUGCCUUGGUGAAAUAUUUCGAGAUCUCUACAUCUGCAUGAGCUCUGCUAGGUUUUUAUGAUACUUUGACAUUCCAUACCUUUCAUUUCUGAAAACUUUGAGCCUUAGCCCCAUUACAACCCUUUGAGAAGACCUUCUUGAUCCUUAAGAUGGGACAGCCUUUGAUGUGGAAAUGAGUUACAAGAGUUGAACCUAUGGCUUGGGUCCAUUCGUGCAAGUAGUUGAUAUCCUUCAUGAGAUCUUUUGAAAAAAAUUAUAUUCACAAAGUGCUUUUCGUUUCUUAUAUAUGUGAGCUAUUUGACUGCCUUAAAAUAUGUUCUCUCACAUAUAAAUGAGUGAUUAUAAGCUUUUAAGCAUUGCCUUGAUCUGAGAGAAGAAAGAGUGGAUAUACCUUGUGAGGAUAUGAAUCAUACUUGUCUGAAGCAUGCUAAGCUAAACCCCAAUCAUCAUUAUUACAACCAAGUCCUACUUGUGUAUGUGUGGAUCAUAUGUUUUAAUUAACUCUCGAAUGCUUAACAUUGAUUCUUGAUUGAGUGCUAAUCUUGGUGUUGUGAAAGUAUGAGAUUUCUGAGACAAUAUGUUAAAGGGCAAUAGAGGUCUUUGUGAUGUCAACAUCUUGGUCUUUGUCUUUGAAUUUACUCUUUUAUGUGUGACAUUUUUUUUUUUUUUUCUUUCUUUGUGUUUUGCUUUGUGUUUUACGUUUUUGGUUUCUUUGAGUCUUUGUGUUUUUGUUUCCAUACUUAGUCAUUUUUUUUUCGUUGGUUUCUUUGUUUUGUGUCAUAGUCUUUUUGGUUUGUUAGUUUUUGAUUUUGCUAAGGGACUAGCAAAAGCUAAGUGUGGGGGAAUUUGAUAGGAGCAUUUUAAAGUGGUAUUUUAAUAGUUAAUUCCUCACAUUUUGCUUAGUUAAUUCCUUAACGAAUCGAUUUUUAACUCAAUUUCUAUUUUCUUAGGUACAUUGGAGUAAAUGAUGGUGAAAUGAGCAUUAGGUCCACACUUACCUAUAAAUGGUGGAGAAAAAUGGAAAUGUACUAAAAUGUCAAUUUUACACAUUUUCCUACUCCGGCUAGGAAAAACCAAGCCAAGCAAGGAAGAAGGAGCGGCCGCCGGACCAAAUGAACUUCAAAUGAGCUGAAACUUUCCAGAUCCAUUCUACACAUCCUAAGGAUCGUUUCUUAUGAAGAGUGCCAGAGCUAGAAUUGAGCGGAAGGCCUUCAAACGGUCAGCCCAAUUUCCUGCAGAAGCAAAACUGGAAAACUGGACCUGUAAGAGGUCCAGCAGCAUUUUCGGCCCAACCACAUGGAAUAAAAAUCUGAAAUUUUACCAGGGUGAUCUACACUCAUAAUGGAACAUUUUUUAUGAAGAGGUCAUAGUGAAAUUGGGAAUGCUUGUUGGAGAAAUAAUUGAAGGAAUAAAGGGGCAGAAACUGAUCUAAAAACAGCUCAACACCACAUGUUCAAGUUUCCUACCCACAUGAAGAAAGCUAGAUGCUUUUCUCUUUUUCCUUGGAUAUAUUUUUCUGCUCCAAUAGAUCAUCAUCACUUCCAUACUUCUACACCUUCAUGCCUUGCUUUCAUUUCAUCAUUACUCCAUCUUUUCCAUAUUUUACAAACCACUUUCAUUAUUUUUCUUCCAUUUAUCAUUUCACUCUUCUUUUUCUUCCCUAUAUAAACACCUUCUCCUCUCACUCUAAAGACAAUUCCUUCAUCCAUUUCAUCUUCUUUGUCUCUCCAUUUCCAUUCCAUUUUUCUCUCCAUUCUCUAGUUGCAAAAUUCUGCGUUUUCAAGUAAGAAGAAGAAGAAGAAGAAGGAGCCGGGAAUAUCAUAUCCUCCAUCGUCCACCUUGAAGGCUUGCUUCCAAGAUUCAAGAUUUCAACGUUUCAAGCACUCCAUCUCCAUCUCCAACUCACGGUGUGUACCCUCAAUCCCCGGAAUAGAACGAUCCCUAUUUGCUUAUACUACUAACGAUGUUUUCAGGAUUAAAUUAUGCGCUUGCUUUGAGCGUAUCAUGAGUGGUUUAAGUAUUUCAGACAACGGGCAUAAAAAAAGAUGUUUCAUCAGAUGGUUUGGUUAG
Long non-coding RNA from Rosa rugosa (rugosa rose), 6536 nucleotides. RefSeq lists it as uncharacterized. The transcript is spliced from 2 exons. The record is from RefSeq and is a predicted model, not a curated record. NCBI's taxonomy places the organism in Eukaryota, Viridiplantae, Streptophyta, Magnoliopsida, Rosales, Rosaceae.